CCUUACCCCCACUCCUUCUGCGCCCUUUACACCCCCUCUCGUUUUUCCUCCUCCUCUCCCUCCUCCUUUUCCUCUUCCCUUCCUGUCUCCAGCUCCCCUCUUCUCUAACAUAUGACAUCACCGUCCAUGCUGCUGAGAUGAACGGCGUCUCUGGAACAGAGCUUGAGGCCAGCUCUCAUGCCGUCACCCACUCCACCUCAGAAGCACACAGGAUGUCCACUCAUGGAGCGGGGGCUGGGUGAGAGCUUUGGGGACUGAGGGAAGACAGCAGCGUCUGGCAGCCCUCUGAGGUCUCGCUGAGGAGCCUCAGAGACCCAUGGAGCCUUCGAGGAGUCACAGUGGCGGAGGACGACCUGCAGAGCUCACAGCAUCCUCGGAACACCCGAAAAAAGACAGGUGUUCCAGCUUCAUUUCUGUUGCUGUACUAAAGUGCCCUGAACAAAAGCAACAUCAAGAGGAAUGCUUUGUUCAUGAUCCAUAUCCAGUGUGUCCCUUUUCCAUCCCUGAGAGCUCUCUGCUCUUUCAUCCCCCUCCAGUUUCAUCACACAGACACACAAAUUUGAAUCUAGGUUCUCAUAUGAAGAAACAUGUCAUUUCUCUUUAUGAAUUGGAUUUGUUAAGCUUAACAUAGCAAUUUCUCAAUAGUAAUUUGUAGUUCCAUCCAUUUCUCUGAAAAUGUCACAAUUUCAUUUUUUUUCACAGCUGAAUAAAAUUCUACAGCAUA
This is a non-coding RNA of Peromyscus maniculatus bairdii (prairie deer mouse), 724 nucleotides long. The record is from RefSeq and is a predicted model, not a curated record. NCBI's taxonomy places the organism in Eukaryota, Metazoa, Chordata, Mammalia, Rodentia, Cricetidae.